Molecule: ribosomal RNA, 427 nt
Filed under: uncultured bacterium
Lineage: Bacteria
Description: bacterial SSU rRNA
Rfam family: Bacterial small subunit ribosomal RNA
Source: RNAcentral
GUAAGGAAUAUUGCGCAAUGGGCGAAAGCCUGACGCAGCAACGCCGCGUGCGGGAAGAAGGGCUUCGGCUCGUAAACCGCUUUUCUGCGGGAAGAGCAAGGACGGUACCGCAGGAAUAAGUCUCGGCUAACUACGUGCCAGCAGCCGCGGUAACACGUAGGAGGCAAGCGUUAUCCGGAUUUACUGGGCGUAAAGCGCGUGCAGGCGGUUCGUUAAGUCGUGCGUGAAAGCUCCCAGGCUUAACCGGGAGAGGUCGUGCGAACCUGGCGAACUUGAGACAGACAGAGGCAAGUGGAAUUCCGGGUGUAGUGGUGAAAUGCGUAGAGAUCCGGAGGAAUACCAGUGGCGAAGGCGGCUUGCUGGGUCUGUUCUGACGCUCAGACGCGAAAGCAUGGGGAGCGAACGGGAUUAGAAACCCUAGUAGUCC